AGCGAAAAUGUCCGCAUUCUUUCAUAGAAAAUCGAUGAGAUGCGUCCGCACCUCCUCCCCCAGGUUGGAGCCGAUCAUCACCACAUGCUCCGCGUUCCCGUCGUUCAGAGGGACUGGCACCAGAUCUUCGAUUGGGUCGCCCCUCUCUUCAGUGAGGUCGUCGCGGGCAUCCAACCCGUCAACUGGACAGGGGUCGGACUGGUCGCUUCUUUGCAAGGCUAUGUUGUAGCAGUGUCUGGCCAGGGCUUGGUCUCCUCGGACCUCUCCGAUUUCCUGGCUGGUG
RNAcentral lists this long non-coding RNA (283 nucleotides) under Elaeis guineensis (African oil palm). RNAcentral describes it as "long non-coding RNA (EGUI_LNC004893)". The record is from RNAcentral. Lineage: Eukaryota; Viridiplantae; Streptophyta; Magnoliopsida; Arecales; Arecaceae.